Molecule: ribosomal RNA, 498 nt
Filed under: uncultured bacterium
Lineage: Bacteria
Description: partial 16S ribosomal RNA
Rfam family: Bacterial small subunit ribosomal RNA
Source: RNAcentral
AUUGAACGCUGGCGGCAUGCCUUACACAUGCAAGUCGAACGGUAACGCGGGGCAACCUGGCGACGAGUGGCGAACGGGUGAGUAAUGCAUCGGAACGUGCCCAGUAGUGGGGGAUAGCCCGGCGAAAGCCGGAUUAAUACCGCAUACGACCUAAGGGUGAAAGCGGGGGAUCGCAAGACCUCGCGCUAUUGGAGCGGCCGAUGUCGGAUUAGCUAGUUGGUGGGGUAAAGGCUCACCAAGGCAACGAUCCGUAGCUGGUCUGAGAGGACGACCAGCCACACUGGGACUGAGACACGGCCCAGACUCCUACGGGAGGCAGCAGUGGGGAAUUUUGGACAAUGGGCGCAAGCCUGAUCCAGCCAUGCCGCGUGCGGGAAGAAGGCCUUCGGGUUGUAAACCGCUUUUGUCAGGGAAGAAACAGUCUGCGUUAAUACCGCGGACUAAUGACGGUACCUGAAGAAUAAGCACCGGCUAACUACGUGCCAGCCGCCGCCGUAA